This 468-nucleotide ribosomal RNA is filed under the name uncultured bacterium. RNAcentral describes it as "partial 16S ribosomal RNA". It matches the Rfam family "Bacterial small subunit ribosomal RNA", at positions 28 to 507 of the family's 1533-position model. The record is from RNAcentral.
GACGAACGCUGGCGGCGUGCUUAACACAUGCAAGUCGAACGGAAAGGCCCUGCUUUUGUGGGGUGCUCGAGUGGCGAACGGGUGAGUAACACGUGAGUAACCUGCCCUUGACUUUGGGAUAACUUCAGGAAACUGGGGCUAAUACCGGAUAGGAGCUCCUGCUGCAUGGUGGGGGUUGGAAAGUUUCGGCGGUUGGGGAUGGACUCGCGGCUUAUCAGCUUGUUGGUGGGGUAGUGGCUUACCAAGGCUUUGACGGGUAGCCGGCCUGAGCGGGUGACCGGCCUCAUUGGGACAGAGAUACGGCACAGACGCAUACGGGAGGCAGCAGUGGGGUAAAUAUCACUAUGGGCGGAAACAUCAUGCAGCAAGGCCGCGUGCGGGAUGACGGCCUUCGGGUUGUGAACCGCUAUCGCCUGUGACGAAGCGUGAGUGACGGUAAUGGGUAAAGAAGCACCGGCUAACUACGUG